GUCACUGAACCAGUGAGCUCCUCCCUAGCCUUUUUCGAUAUUUUAUUUAGAGACAGGGUCUCACCAUACUUAGAGCCUCACUAAAUUGCUGAGGCUGGCUUUGAACUCAUGACCCUCCUGCCUCCUCCUCCCAAGCUUCAGGGAUGACAGGUGUUUGCCAUCCUGCCAGCUCCUUUUCACCUUUGAAUUAGCAUCGGAAUAAUACAGGGUCAUGCUAACAACUGAAUAAGGAGAGCACGCUCAUCAAGAAAAAUCAGACUCCUGCUCUCCUUCCCUCUUCACCCCAGAGGCAAAGGUCUCCCACAUCUCCUCGUGUACCCUCUUCCUGAUGCUUUCUUCCGUAACUCUAGACAAGGUGCUCAUGUAUCUAUUUCUUGAUUUAUAACUUUAGACCAAUAUCCAUGGAUUUUUCUGUCAGAUUCAUGAGACUUUAGCUUACUUCCACUCCUAACCUUUCAACUUUGAAAUUUAUAGCACACCUGACACCUCUCUGCUGAUUACCUAUAUUUAAAUGUCUUUCUCUGGUUCAACUUUAAGACACAUUUCUUUUCAGCCCCACCCAUGAUGGGACACAGAUAUCCCCACAUCUCAUUUUUUGCAUUGUAUUAUUGGCAUUCACCUUAUGUCUGCUCCACAAUCAAGUCUUCACAGCUUCGACUCUUGCCCGCAUCCCCCUGCCCCCCCACCACAGGCGAUGAAAACGGGGGUUCCCCUCAGUGGAAUGGGCUGGCUGAGAAAUAAAAGCUAAGAAAAAUAGAACGACAGAGAAACCACAGGACACAGAAAAUAUUUUCAGAAAGUGGGGAGGGGACAGGCUAGCCCAUCAUAUGGAUAGAGCUUCUAUACUAAAAAGCAAAAUGGAGUCUGCCCUUGCUUUAUAUCGGGGAACAUCAGAGGCCUUCCACAGAAUAUUCAUCACCAAAAAGUGUUACAGGUGGGCUGUCCAGUUCCCAAAGGUUACGCCCAUCUCUGGAGCUACUGUGAGGGAUCUUCCUAGUAGGGUGGGGAGAAAGGUCAUGUGCUUUGGGCCAUCUAAAGUGUGGGAGAGCCACAGAUAGUUCCCAAUGGUAAAGCUAAAAUCUCCCUGGCUGCCACACAGAGAGAAGAUCCUGGCUUCCCACAUUUGACCACAGGUUGAUUCAAAAGAUGAAAAGCCAGGCAAAAGCACUUAUUUGAUAAGGCUGAGACUUUGAAGCACCGUUCCCUGUAAAUUCCCUUUUAAGCAAAGCUAAUUUGAUUUGGAUUUGUUGGGUAUGGCCAAGUUGUCCCAACUUUCACACCCAAGUUUUGUUGAAUUGGAUGUAUCCACAAGCCUUCAAAUGCAAGCUGGGACAGAGCUCCCAAGGGCCAGCUUCAUGGCCCAAGACCUUCAUUGUCACACACAGCCCUGGGUUCAGAAGGAUGUUGUGCUUGGUUUAAUAGGCUGUCACCGUCUUGAAAUUCUUAAUGAUUCAAAUUAUACUCUACUGUUAUGUAUAUCUAAAAAUAACAAUUAUAAAAUCCUUGAUUUUUUUUUCCCUUUUGGUACUAGGGAUUGAACUCAGGGGCACUCGACCACUGAGCCACAUCCCCAGCUUUAUUUAGAGACAGGGUCUCACUGAGUUGCUUAGCACCUCACUUUUGCUGAGGCUGGCUUUGAACUUGCGCUCCUCCUGCCUCGGCCUCCUGAGCAGCUGAGAUUACAGGUGGGUGCCACCGCUCCCAGCUCUUAAUGAUUUUUAGCAAGAGGGCCCACAAAUGAAGUAGCUAUCCCGAAUUCCCCCAUCUUGCUGGAAGAGGCCUGAAUCUUCUAACAAACAUUCUCUCUCCUUGGGCACCUGCCAGGCACUUAGAGGAAAGGCAGGGCCCUUAAGCAGGUCCCAAGGCAGCCAUGAAAAACUCAAGUGAGGGGUGCAGGCCCGAGUGGUAACUGUGUGAAUGUAGCUCACAGGUGAGGUCAGGCUGGGCUUCUCCCAGCUUCUUGCUACGGAGGGGCAACUGACCUUGGAGAAUCUUGCCUAAUUCUAGUGUGAGGGAGGUGAGAUUAUCUCCACCCUACAGAUAUGGAAAUAUCAGCUAAAAGACAUGCUCAAGCCCUGUCUUAUCAACGGCAGGUCCUCCAUUCAAGCCUGGACCCACCAUGUUUCCUCCAGACCAGUGCUACCCAUCAUGCAGCAGAACUGUGGCUGAGUUCUAGACCUGCUCCCAAUUUGCUGUGUGCCCUUCAGUGAGGAACUUGCCCUCUCUUGACUCCUUCCCUCAAUGAGUCCUCUGAAGGAGAAGAUAAGUUUUUUAAAGUUCCUUUCAAAGAGAAUCACUAUAUAACCCAAUAGCAGAGGAGGGGAGUCUUUUUUUUUUUUAAUGUAUGAAUUCCAACUGAUCAAUGCAAAAUGAAUGAAAUAUAAUUCCAUUUUUCAAUCUUUAAAGAAUUAAUUGCUUGGGGCUGGGGCUAUAGCUCAGUUGGUAGAGUGCUUGCCUCGCAUGCACAAGGCUCUGGGUUCAAUCCCCAGCACCCCCCCCCCCCAAAAAAAAAAUUGCUUAAAGUUUUAUUGGUUGCUAACAUCAGAAGAGAAGAGAAUCAGACACCGGAUGCCUCUUGAUAGAGCAAGGUGCUGCCUAAUAACACGGUCUUGCCAGAACAGAGAACACAAAUGUGAAUCUGGUCAAGCCUUACUGUGAUCACCAAUUUACAAGAAGCGCAGAGGAUAGAGGAACCUACUGAAUUACACCAGAGCGCCGCAACCAACAAAAUCCAGACGGAGCCAAAGGCCGCAGGACGAACCACUAAUUUCUUCCAAUAAAUAAAUAGCCAGCAAAAAUACAACCACCACCCAAAACCCUCUACACCUAAAGAGACUCAAAGACAUGCUCACCAAUGGCAAGGUUUAGCCCUUAUUUGGAUCCAAAUUUAAACAGACUGUCAAAAAGCAAUUAUGUGAUGAUCAGAAAGCUGAACACUGACCAAUUCUUGGAUAAUAUGAGGAACUAUUAGAUUUCUUGUGUGUGAUAAUG
RNAcentral lists this long non-coding RNA (2991 nucleotides) under Marmota monax (woodchuck). The stretch from base 2425 to 2497 matches the Rfam family "tRNA". The record is from RNAcentral. Lineage: Eukaryota; Metazoa; Chordata; Mammalia; Rodentia; Sciuridae.